Anastrepha obliqua is the source of this 2092-nucleotide RNA transcript. It is a transcript of the gene named serine/arginine-rich splicing factor 2, with no coding region annotated. The transcript is spliced from 5 exons. The record is from RefSeq and is a predicted model, not a curated record. NCBI's taxonomy places the organism in Eukaryota, Metazoa, Arthropoda, Insecta, Diptera, Tephritidae.
GUAGCAUUUUCGUGACGCCAUUUUAUAAUUGUUCUUUGGAGUGCGAAGUGUGAAUUAGUUUUUAUUAAAACGUAAUUUUUCUAAAAAUUUGUUCAGAAAAUAAAAGAUCUGAAGGAAAUAUACUAUGAGUGGAGGUGGAAAUAAUUCUGCUCGACCGCCACCAAGAAUUGACGGCAUGAUUUCCCUAAAGGUUGAUAAUUUGACAUAUCGUACUACUCCUGAAGAUUUAAGACGUGUCUUCGAACGUUGUGGCGAGGUUGGUGACAUCUACAUACCUCGCGAUAGAUAUACUCGAGAAAGUCGAGGUUUUGCCUUUGUUAGAUUUUAUGAUAAACGGGAUGCUGAGGACGCAUUAGAGGCUAUGGAUGGCCGCAUGCUCGAUGGCAGGGAGUUGCGUGUUCAGAUGGCCCGUUACGGUCGUCCAACUUCACCGACACGUCGCACCAAUAACCGACGUGGAGGUGGUGGUGGCAGACGCCGUUCUCGUUCGCCUGUACGUAGACGGUCUCGUAGUCCUCGCCGUCGGUCGUAUUCACCUAGAUCUAGAUCACGUUCGGCCGGUAGCCGUUCCCCUGUUCGACGUGGGAAAUUUUCACGGAGUCCAGUUGGGCGAAAAUCUUUGAGCCGUAGUCAAAGUCGGAACGGAGUAGCAGCUGGACGCAGUGUAUCACGCAGUCGAAGUCGGUCCUAAAGAUUGUGACUUGACGGAAUAAAUAAAAUGGUUGAUUUAAUAAAUCAGAGUUGCCUAAAUAAUAGUGCACAGUACGCAUAGAAAUAUCCGCGUAUAGUUGAUUAGCAGCGAUUUCGUUUUAAAGCACGUGAUUUGGGCAUAGUUCUGCUAAUUCAACAGGCAAACAAAGAUUGCUGUAUGAGCUGCUGUAAGAGCGCGAAAGGGAUAAAGGCAGAGACAGUAAAAUGAAAUAUAAAAGAAAUUUAUGGGGAGAAAGAAUAUGCAAGGAACAGGAGGCAGAGAUUCUUAUAUUUAUUGGUGAUUGCUGCGUAGAGAAUUUACAAUAUACGUACUCCUGCUACUCUUGUUGCUGCUACAGCUGCUGUUUGCUGUAAUAUUUAUACACCAAUCGGGCCGCUGCACUUACAAUUUACUGCCUAAUUAUGCCUAACACUUGACUGGAUUUCUCGUACAUCGUCUAGAGAAACGCUAAUCAAGUGCUAAGCUCACGAUAAAUUAUUGUUCGAGUUCGCAUCCUGUAGAGUAAAAUGUUGCUGUUUACUGAGAGUGAUGUUGCUGCCUCUGCUGCUGCAUCAAUCUAGUUAUGUAACGUAGAUACAAAAUCCAGCCAAAGUACUUCCUUUAAAUGCAGAUACUUGAUAGUAAAUAAGUAUUCCGAAGCCUGCUACGUACGACCAGCCAUUUAAUUUUUAUAUCUGGUAGGCGGUUAGCGGUUGGCGGUUUCAGUGUAUAUGCGCAGCAGUUGGAGCGGUAUAAGGAUAGAAAGUUUUGAUUGAUGCAUGCGUAAAUCUUGAAACCUGUACUUGAUCCAAAAGUUCAGCGAAAUCUAUGAUAUCGGACAAAUAUUUGAAGGCAGUCCAGUAGUAUUUAUAGCGGCAUGCUUAAAUGCGUAGACAAUGCCGUAGUACGUAUAACUGGUGCAAGUAGCUGUAGCCGGUAGCUGUGUGUUGCUGCUAUAUGCUGUUAUUCACUUCAGUACGCUUCAUCGUACGUUGUUCAUCUUCGUUUGGGUGGUAGUUAAUGACUUUUUGAUGUUGGUGGUCUGCUGUUUCGAGUUCUGAAUGGUUGCUGUUUCCCCGAAAGAUUUUAUUUCUCCAAGUUUGCAGCACAGGUUAAUCAGUGAAUUUUCGACACUUCCGAAGUCAAACUGCGAUUCAAGGGGUGCGAUGACUGGGAAGUUCAAAGCUAAAAAAAUCUUGGUGAAUGUGUGACGAUUUUGGUACAGGUAGGUGAUUGUGAAUUUAUGUAAUAAUGAGUUUUAUUGCAGAACAAGAUUUACCAAUUUAGAAAUAAAAAUAAAAUAAAUUGGCUGUGAUUGUAUUAAAACUGUUUUUUAUUGAUAAAUAUAUUAGGCCCAAUGAAAAAUGAAUGAAUGAUAAUAAAGUUAGCACUUCAAACUCA